Molecule: transfer RNA, 85 nt
Organism: Brassica oleracea var. oleracea
Lineage: Eukaryota; Viridiplantae; Streptophyta; Magnoliopsida; Brassicales; Brassicaceae
Rfam family: tRNA
About the family: Transfer RNA (tRNA) molecules are approximately 80 nucleotides in length.
Source: Rfam
CCGACCUUAGCUCAGUUGGUAGAGCGGAAGACUGUAGUAGUUGUAGAAUAUCCUUGGGUCACUGGUUCGAAUCCGGUAUGUCGGG